GCCAGGUUGGAUGGGGCCCUGGGCAGCCUGGUCUGGUAUUAAAUGUGGAGGUUGGUUGUCCUGCAUGUGACAGGAGGUUGGAGAUUCACGAUCCUUGAGGCUCUCCCAGUCCUGGCCAUUCUGUGGAAGCAACUGUAGAUCAUCAUUUUCCAUCUGGGAAACAUCCUCCAAAGGAUGGCAGCCAGUGAAACUGCAAGUCAUGGAUUUUUUUU
Tympanuchus pallidicinctus (lesser prairie-chicken) is the source of this 212-nucleotide long non-coding RNA. RefSeq lists it as uncharacterized. The record is from RefSeq and is a predicted model, not a curated record. The transcript is spliced from 2 exons. Lineage: Eukaryota; Metazoa; Chordata; Aves; Galliformes; Phasianidae.